GUGGCGAACGGGUGAGUAAUGUAUCGGAACGUAUCCAAUAAUGGGGGAUAACUAGUCGAAAGAUUAGCUAAUACCGCAUACGCCCUACGGGGGAAAGCAGGGGAUCUUCGGACCUUGCGUUAAUGGAGCGGCCGAUAUCUGAUUAGCUAGUUGGUGAGGUAAAGGCUCACCAAGGCGACGAUCAGUAGCUGGUCUGAGAGGACGACCAGCCACACUGGAACUGAGACACGGUCCAGACUCCUACGGGAGGCAGCAGUGGGGAAUUUUGGACAAUGGGCGCAAGCCUGAUCCAGCCAUUCCGCGUGAGUGAAGAAGGCCUUCGGGUUGUAAAGCUCUUUCGCAAGGGAAGAAAACUUACUUUCUAAUAAAGAGUGAGGCUGACGGUAUCUUGAUAAGAAGCACCGGCUAACUACGUGCCAGCAGCCGCGGUAAUACGUAGGGUGCGAGCGUUAAUCGGAAUUACUGGGCGUAAAGCGUGCGCAGGCUGUUUUGUAAGUCAGAUGUGAAAUCCCUGAGCUCAACUUAGGAACUGCGUUUGAAACUACAAGACUAGAAUAUGUCAGAGGGGGGUAGAAUUCCACGUGUAGCAGUGAAAUGCGUAGAGAUGUGGAGGAAUACCAAUGGCGAAGGCAGCCCCCUGGGAUAAUAUUGACGCUCAUGCACAAAAGCGUGGGGAGCAAACAGGAUUAGAUACCCUGGUAGUCCACGCCCUAAACGAUGUCUACUAGUUGUUGGUGGAGUAAAAUCCAUGAGUAACGCAACUAACGCGUGAAGUAGACCGCCUGGGG
This 788-nucleotide ribosomal RNA is filed under the name uncultured bacterium. Its description in RNAcentral is "bacterial SSU rRNA". It matches the Rfam family "Bacterial small subunit ribosomal RNA", at positions 95 to 878 of the family's 1533-position model. The record is from RNAcentral.